Molecule: non-coding RNA, 244 nt
Filed under: Bacillota bacterium
Lineage: Bacteria; Bacillati; Bacillota
Description: Firmicutes bacterium T-box sequence
Rfam family: T-box leader
About the family: Uncharged tRNA acts as the effector for transcription antitermination of genes in the T-box leader family. T-boxes are found upstream of many aminoacyl-tRNA synthetase genes and some amino acid biosynthetic genes usually in Gram-positive bacteria.
Source: RNAcentral
CAAAAUGCAAUGAGGAAGAAAAGUAACGCGGGACAUGGCCGCAGAGAGCCGGGGAUGCUGGGAUCCCGGCGCCAGCGCCUUCGUGAACGAACACUUCUUAGCAGCGACCUGAACCGGAACACCGCAGUAGGGAAGACGCGCAGCGCGGCGUUAAAGCGCAGGGGCUUGUCAGAGUCCCGGAAAAGAGACUGGGUAUUCCAGUAAGUUAGGUGGCACCGCGGAUCGGCAGCAAUUCGUCCUAAAA